RNAcentral lists this ribosomal RNA (449 nucleotides) under uncultured bacterium. Its description in RNAcentral is "partial 16S ribosomal RNA". It matches the Rfam family "Bacterial small subunit ribosomal RNA", at positions 29 to 523 of the family's 1533-position model. The record is from RNAcentral.
AACGAACGCUGGCGGCAUGCCUAACACAUGCAAGUCGAACGAGAUCUUCGGGUCUAGUGGCGCACGGGUGCUUAACGCGUGGGAAUCUGCCCUUGGGUUCGGAAUAACAGUUGGAAACGACUGCUAAUCCCGGAUGAUGACGAAAGUCAAAAGAUUUAUCGCCAGAGGAUGAGCCCGCGUAGGAUUAGCGAGUUGGUGUGGUAAAGGGGCACCAAGGCGACGAUCCUUAGCCGGUCUGAGAGGAUGAUCAGCCACGCGGGGACUGAGACACGGCCCAGACUCCUACGGGAGGCAGCAGUGGGGAAUAUUGGACAAUGGGCGAAAGCCUGAUCCAGCAAUGCCGCGGGAGUGAUGAAGGCCUAAGGGUUGUAAAGCUCUUUUACCCGGGAUGAUAAUGACAGUACCGGGAGAAGAAGCUCCGGCUAACUCCGUGCCAGCCGCCGCCGUAA